ACCGGCAGCUCAAGUGGUGGCCAUUAUUAUUGGGCCUAAAGCGUUCGUAGCCGGUUGGAAAAGGCUAGGGGGAAAUCCCGCAGCUUAACUGUGGGACUUGCUGGAGAUACUAUCAGACUUGAGGUCGGGAGAGGUUAGGGGUACUCCCAGGGUAGGGGUGAAAUCCUAUAAUCCUGGGAGGACCACCUGUGGCGAAGGCGCCUAACUGGAACGAACCUGACGGUGAGUAACGAAAGCCAGGGGCGCGAACCU
Molecule: ribosomal RNA, 252 nt
Filed under: uncultured prokaryote
Description: partial 16S rRNA
Rfam family: Archaeal small subunit ribosomal RNA
Source: RNAcentral